This 766-nucleotide ribosomal RNA is filed under the name uncultured bacterium. Its description in RNAcentral is "bacterial SSU rRNA". It matches the Rfam family "Bacterial small subunit ribosomal RNA", at positions 8 to 753 of the family's 1533-position model. The record is from RNAcentral.
AGAGUUUGAUCCUGGCUCAGAACGAACGCUGGCGGCGUGCUUAACACAUGCAAGUCGAACGCGAAAGGGACUUCGGUCCUGAGUAGAGUGGCGCACGGGUGAGUAACGCGUAGAUAAUCUGUCCUUGUGUCUGGAAUAAUACGUCGAAAGGUGUACUAAUACCGGAUAUUCUUGCUUUUCAUACGAUAGGUAAGCAAAGGUGGCCUCUGUCAUAAGCUACUGCAUAAGGAGGAGUCUGCGUACCAUUAGCUAGUAGGUGGGGUAAUGGCCCACCUAGGCUUCGAUGGUUAACGGGUCUGAGAGGAUGAUCCGUCACAUUGGCACUGGAACACGGGCCAGACUCCUACGGGAGGCAGCAGUGAGGAAUAUUGCGCAAUGGGGGCAACCCUGACGCAGCGACGCCGCGUGAGUGAGGAAGGCCUUCGGGUCGUAAAGCUCUGUCAAAGGGAAAGAAGUGCAUGGUGGUUAAUACCCAUCAUGUUUGACGGUACCCUUAAAGGAAGCACCGGCUAACUCCGUGCCAGCAGCCGCGGUAAUACGGAGGGUGCAAGCGUUGUUCGGAAUCACUGGGCGUAAAGGGCGCGCAGGCGGUUUGAUAAGUCAGAUGUGAAAGCCCACGGCUUAACUGUGGAAGUGCAUUUGAAACUGUCAGACUUGAGUACCAGAGGGGAAAGUGGAAUUCCCGGUGUAGAGGUGAAAUUCGUAGAUAUCGGGAGGAAUACCGGUGGCGAAGGCGACUUUCUGGCUGGAUACUGACGCUGAGGCG